RNAcentral lists this long non-coding RNA (272 nucleotides) under Homo sapiens (human). Its description in RNAcentral is "HSALNT0132211". The record is from RNAcentral. Lineage: Eukaryota; Metazoa; Chordata; Mammalia; Primates; Hominidae.
GAUGCAGGGCAAGUGUUGUGCACGGGGCCUGCUGCUGGGGACAGCACCUGCCACUGGGGCCUCGUGCGUUCGUCAUCAGCUGUUGCGAUUGGCCCAGCAUCUAGAUAGUAUCUGGAAAAUUGAAUGUGACCCUUUUCGUGGACUCAGCCUCGGCAGAGGGGCAUGAAUUUUCUGAGACAAUAGCCCACCAAGAUGUGGCCUCAGAGCCCUUGAAGGAAUGAUGUGUGAAAGAUCACACUACCUGCUCAGAUUAUGGAAGACUCUGUUUCCAA